CUCUGAUAAGGUGGAAGCGUUAAAAUGCAGGCUAAGUUAUAGGACUCUUCUGAAUGCUUUUCCUUUGAAAAGUAACCAACCAUAUGACAACCUCGGUCGUCACAUUCACAAAGCACGUAAAAGAGGAACAGGUCAACAUCAUAAUAAAGAGUCUUGUGAUCAAGAAACAAUUUGGCCAAGUAGCAUAGAUUUUGCCCAUAAACCUUGUUCUUUUUUCCAUCAACCUCAAACAUUGAUAAAGUACCACAUCGAUAAAUUUCAUCACCAGGAGGAUGCUUCAGAUCACACUUCCUCAUAUGUCUCUG
This 305-nucleotide unclassified non-coding RNA is filed under the name Hevea brasiliensis (rubber tree). The record is from RNAcentral. Lineage: Eukaryota; Viridiplantae; Streptophyta; Magnoliopsida; Malpighiales; Euphorbiaceae.